AUGAGGCGGGGCCGUAAGCGUCGGACGCGCUCGCUCGCCUGCAAUCAAAGCGGACUCAGCGGCCGUCCAUGGCGGCUCGGGUCGAUGCAUGAGGACGAUGGGAGGAGCUCGCGAGGGCCGGCACCGGGAAUGGAGUGGAGGCGGGUGGAUCUGGCGAUUCCGCAGGGGCUGCGGCGACGAGCGGCUCCGUGGGCGGCGACCUGCAGGGUUCAAGCGACGGCUGCCAUGAAGGAUCUUCAAGACAGUAGGGACCAAUUGCACCCUUGCUUCUGUUUCUGUCCUAUGAACCAAUCUGAGAUGGCCACUAAGAAGCACUUGGCUGGAAGGGGAGGUGAUGUGCGCAAGGAUGUCUACUGGAACCUCAAGGAAAACGAAAAGAAGUGCAGGAGCAGGAGCUGGAGAUGCAGCCGCACAAGCAAGACCUUUGUUGAUGUGGCUGCCUUGAGGAAGCAUGCUCAUGUACAUGGCGAGAGGGGAUAUGCCGCUGAUGAACAAAUAGUGAUCCAGUUUGGUCGGAGUAGAUAUAAGUUUGGUCUCUGCUCGAGCUCCUGCUGCUGCUUGGAUUUUCCUUUUCCCCUCUCAUCCAACCCCGAUCAAAUCCUCGCGCACACACAACAACUCAACUCCACGGUCUGCACACAACAGCUCAACACCACGGUUUCAGAGGAGAAGAAUCUCACCUACUUGCUAGCUUCCCAAAUGCAGUGGCAUACGUAUGGUACAGUCGAAGGACGUGAUUGGCUGGAAAAAAAAAGACACCCUCACGAGUCACGAACCUGCCUCCCGAUCCCAUCUUCACCUCCAUCUCGCCGCCGCCUCGCCCCUCCCCGCGCCGCUGCCUCCUGCCACGCCUUGCCCCUCCCCGCGCUGCCGCGUCCUGCCACGCCCAGCCCGGCGCCGCCGCGCGCCGCCGCCUCCUACCCCGUCGGCGCGCCUACUCUUACCCCAAGUGCCCCCAUACCCGCGGCCUCCCACCGCCGGCAACAAUCGAUGAUGCGGCUGAUGACGGCUCCCCCUACCUACCACCGCUGGGAUUCCUCCCCGUUGCUUCCACCUCAACAAUGGUCGCGGUUGAGGCAUGAGGACGGCAGCAGCGGCAGUCAAAAUCUUCAUGAAGUUUUUCCGCUUACCCUCCCCCGGUCUGAUUUCUCUCCAAUCUUUGAAUCCCCUCAGUUUGAACUAAUGCCAUCAUUUGCUGGAGCCAUCAUCCCAAACAGUUUCACUGAUUCUCAGGGACCAAAAGACGUAGCUCUCUUAAUCCUGCAAAAGUUAGUCAUAAAGGUGUACUUGAUGACACAUAUGCCCUCUGUAUGGCUGACAAGCCUGAGCAUAUUUGAGAUGAUGGCUAUUGCUGCACGUGAAGAGUUGGUUUGA
This 1374-nucleotide ribosomal RNA is filed under the name Triticum aestivum (bread wheat). RNAcentral's name for it is "partial small subunit ribosomal RNA". The record is from RNAcentral. Lineage: Eukaryota; Viridiplantae; Streptophyta; Magnoliopsida; Poales; Poaceae.